UUGAACGCUGGCGGAAUGCUUUACACAUGCAAGUCGAGCGGCAGCGCGGGGGCAACCCUGGCGGCGAGCGGCGAACGGGUGAGUAACACAUCGGAACGUACCCAGUUGUGGGGGAUAGCCCGGCGAAAGCCGGAUUAAUACCGCAUACGACCUGAGGGUGAAAGGGGGGGAUCGCAAGACCUCUCGCAGUUGGAGCGGCCGAUGGCGGAUUAGCUAGUUGGUGGGGUAAAGGCCUACCAAGGCGACGAUCCGUAGCUGGUCUGAGAGGACGACCAGCCACACUGGAACUGAGACACGGUCCAGACUCCUACGGGAGGCAGCAGUGGGGAAUUUUGGACAAUGGGCGAAAGCCUGAUCCAGCCAUGCCGCGUGCGGGAAGAAGGCCUUCGGGUUGUAAACCGCUUUCAGCCGGAAAGAAAUCGCCACUUCUAAUACGAGUGGUGGAUGACGGUACCGGAAGAAGAAGCACCGGCUAACUACGU
RNAcentral lists this ribosomal RNA (482 nucleotides) under uncultured bacterium. RNAcentral describes it as "partial 16S ribosomal RNA". It matches the Rfam family "Bacterial small subunit ribosomal RNA", at positions 29 to 506 of the family's 1533-position model. The record is from RNAcentral.